CCUACGGGUGGCAGCAGUGGGGAAUAUUGCACCAUGGGGGAAACCCUGAUGCAGCGACGCCGCGUGAGUGAAGAAGUAAUUCGUUAUGCAAAGCUCUAUCCGCCGGGAAGAACAUGACGGUACCUGAGUAAGAAGCCCCGGCUAACUACGUGCCAGCAGCCGAGGUCAUACGUCGGGGGCAAGCGUUAUCCGGAUUUACUGGGUGUAACGGGAGCGUAGACGGCAGUGAAAGUCUGGAGUGAAAGGCGGGGGCUCAACCCCCGGACUGCGCUGGAAACUGGACGGCUUGAGUGCAGGAGAGGUAAGUGGAAUGCCUAGUGUAGCGGUGAAAUGCGUAGAUAUUAGGAGGAACACCAGUGGCGAAGGCGGCUUACUGGACUGUAACUGACGUUGAGGCUCGAAAGCGUGGGGAGCAAACAGGAUUAGAUACCCCAGUAGUC
This 440-nucleotide ribosomal RNA is filed under the name uncultured bacterium. Its description in RNAcentral is "partial 16S ribosomal RNA". It matches the Rfam family "Bacterial small subunit ribosomal RNA", at positions 338 to 795 of the family's 1533-position model. The record is from RNAcentral.